Molecule: RNA transcript, 1310 nt
Organism: Armigeres subalbatus
Lineage: Eukaryota; Metazoa; Arthropoda; Insecta; Diptera; Culicidae
Exons: 2
Source: RefSeq, a predicted model, not a curated record
UCUAUGUACGCAGCCAAAUUUUAACUUGCUCUCACUAACACAUAUGUAUGUGGAGCAAAUGUCAGUUUUUGUGUUUUGUUUUUCAUUUUUCGUUGCGCUCUCAAGUACAUUUCUUAAAAGUGGAAUUUAUAUCCGGAUUUUUUACGCUGACACCGACGAGAAGCAGCAAACGGCGGAGAAAGAGCAACGAGGACUGCAAAACAAUAACAGCUGAUAUGGUAUGUCGCCCGAUUCCUGGACCAAGGAGAUGAUUUCACCCAUCGGGUGUCGGGGCGGAAACGCUAUCACUGGAGCGUGGAUUCGAUGGAUUGACUGGCGUGAUUAUCGUCUUCGAGUCCGGGUGGCUCUACAUUGUUCAUCCGCCGAGUUCGAGUCCAUUCGUCAAGAGGUGAAAAGUUCGACACACUGUCGGAGUUGGGGCAGUACGGAUGUCAGGGUAACCUGUCCGGCAAGAGGGCGGAACGAUUGAUCCUGGAACGGGAUCUCAGAGCAAACCGGGUGACUGUACUUUCGGUGCGGACAGAGGAAAAAGUGACCACGUCAUCAUUCGGUGGCACGAGAAAAAUACGACGUCUGCGGCGGCCAGAAAUUCAACACCCUGUGCGACCUGAUCGAGUACUACAAGCAGAACCUGAUGGUGGAGACAUGAGGUACCGAGGUGCACAUGCGGCAACAGUACAACCUGACGCAUAUCACGGCCACUGGACCCGAAGCCCCGGUCGGGCAGCUGGGAGCGAUGCCGAUGCUGUAAAAUGAAUGUGAAAAAUGAGAAGAAUCCGGGAUACGUUUUCACAACAGAUUUCAAAUAAUUAAACAUGAAAAUCUUGAAUAUAUGUACAAUAAUAAAGGAAUGGAUUGUUAUCACACGUCCGAACUAAACUUUAACAGGGAGUUAUUGAUGGAAAUCGCCGGAAGCAAGAGAUAUGGAAAAUUCCUCCAAUUUAUGGGAAUCCUCUUGGGAGUUCUAUGGAACUCUGCGAAAACCCUGUGGGAGUCAGUGAUGGAUUUCUUGGUAACUCAAAAGGGAAUUCCUGUGGAAAUUAUUAAGUCAAUUCUGGAAAAUUACUGCGAUAAUUUCAAUAUAUUCUAUUAGGAGAGCUGUAUUAUUUUGGAGAACCCAUUCGGGAAGAAAUUACACACCACAGGAAAUGAUGGAGAAUUUCUUUGGGAGUCCUGGGGAAUUAAUUCAAGAAUUCAAUGAAACGAAAACUCAUUCGGGAAUUUUAUAGACGUCAUUUGGGUUUUCUAUGGAGCUACUGACGAAAAUGGUCGCGAAUUAAAAAAAAAUCGAAUUCUCAUAGAACCGUAAG